RNAcentral lists this ribosomal RNA (253 nucleotides) under uncultured bacterium. Its description in RNAcentral is "partial 16S ribosomal RNA". It matches the Rfam family "Bacterial small subunit ribosomal RNA", at positions 524 to 776 of the family's 1533-position model. The record is from RNAcentral.
UACAGAGGUCUCAAGCGUUGUUCGGAUUCAUUGGGCGUAAAGGGUGCGUAGGCGGCGUGGUAAGUCGGGUGUGAAAUCUCGGAGCUUAACUCCGAAACUGCAUUCGAUACUGCCGUGCUUGAGGACUGGAGAGGAGACUGGAAUUUACGGUGUAGCGGUGAAAUGCGUAGAUAUCGUAAGGAAGACCAGUGGCGAAGGCGGGUCUCUGGACAGUUCCUGACGCUGAGGCACGAAGGCCAGGGGAGCAAACGGG